This 648-nucleotide ribosomal RNA is filed under the name uncultured bacterium. RNAcentral describes it as "bacterial SSU rRNA". It matches the Rfam family "Bacterial small subunit ribosomal RNA", at positions 202 to 847 of the family's 1533-position model. The record is from RNAcentral.
CAAAGGAAGCGAUUCCGGCGGGGGAUGGGCAUGCGGCGCAUUAGCUAGUCGGCGGGGUAACGGCCCACCGAGGCGACGAUGCGUAGGGGUUCUGAGAGGAAGGUCCCCCACACUGGUACUGAGACACGGACCAGACUCCUACGGGAGGCAGCAGUGAGGAAUAUUGGUCAAUGGGCGGGAGCCUGAACCAGCCAAGUCGCGUGAGGGAAGACGGUCCUACGGAUUGUAAACCUCUUUUGCCGGGGAGCAACGGGGUCCUUGCGAGGGCCCAAUGAGAGUACCCGGAGAAAAAGCAUCGGCUAACUCCGUGCCAGCAGCCGCGGUAAUACGGAGGAUGCGAGCGUUAUCCGGAUUUAUUGGGUUUAAAGGGCGCGUAGGCGGGCUGUUAAGUCAGCGGUCAAAUGUCGGGGCUCAACCCCGGCCUGCCGUUGAAACUGGCGGCCUCGAGUGGGCGAGAAGUAUGCGGAAUGCGUGGUGUAGCGGUGAAAUGCAUAGAUAUCACGCAGAACUCCGAUUGCGAAGGCAGCAUACCGGCGCCCGACUGACGCUGAGGCACGAAAGCGUGGGUAUCGAACAGGAUUAGAUACCCUGGUAGUCCACGCAGUAAACGAUGAAUGCUAGCUGUCCGGGACUUCGGCUCUGGGUGGC